GACGAACGCUGGCGGCGUGCUUAACACAUGCAAGUCGAACGGAAAGGCCCUGCUUGCAGGGUACUCGAGUGGCGAACGGGUGAGUAACACGUGGGUGAUCUGCCCUGCACUUCGGGAUAAGCUUGGGAAACUGGGUCUAAUACCGGAUAGGACCGCACGUUAGUGUGUGUGGUGGAAAGUUUUUUCGGUGUAGGAUGAGCUCGCGGCCUAUCAGCUUGUUGGUGGGGUAAUGGCCUACCAAGGCGGCGACGGGUAGCCGGCCUGAGAGGGUGUACGGCCACAUUGGGACUGAGAUACGGCCCAGACUCCUACGGGAGGCAGCAGUGGGGAAUAUUGCACAAUGGGCGCAAGCCUGAUGCAGCGACGCCGCGUGGGGGAUGAAGGCCUUCGGGUUGUAAACUCCUUUCGCUAGGGACGAAGCUUUUUGUGACGGUACCUAGAUAAGAAGCACCGGCUAACUACGUG
Molecule: ribosomal RNA, 465 nt
Filed under: uncultured bacterium
Lineage: Bacteria
Description: partial 16S ribosomal RNA
Rfam family: Bacterial small subunit ribosomal RNA
Source: RNAcentral